RNAcentral lists this non-coding RNA (26 nucleotides) under Homo sapiens (human). Lineage: Eukaryota; Metazoa; Chordata; Mammalia; Primates; Hominidae. The record is from RNAcentral.
CCAUCGUUGGAUGAAUGGAUACAGAA